AAGAUUUUAAAUAAUUUCAGUAAAUUUCCCAUUACAGGAACAUGUAAUUUGGACUUAAAUUCUAACUAAUCAGUAAAUACAUUGAUUUAUUAACUCUAGUCAAUAAAUAAUUGUUACAGAUCCAUUAUUUUCAAGAUCCUGACGUAGAUUCAUCUAAGGAUACAAAGAUGAGUUGCAACAGACACAGUGCCUUGCCUGUAGAAGUAAAUCAUGUACAAGAGAAAGGUUCAUGGAUUAGUUAAGUUCUUUACAUCAUAAUAUAAUGUAUGGUCACAGGAUUUGUUUUUCAGAUACCAAUCUUUUUUUUUUUUUUUUUUGGUAAAACGUACUGAGUGUAAAUCGCAGGUGGAAGGAGUUGAGUAUGGAAGCUUAUUUGAGUAGUUCUCUCCACCCAAAUUGUCCUUAUUCCACCAGCCAAAGUUUUUAAAACCAGAUGGCAGGUCUUUUCUCACAUGCUGCUAAUUAUUUUUUACAUGUCCUGGGUUAUUCCACUUGAGCUGAGAUUUAUUUCAUCGAUUUUGAUGUUUUCAACUCCCCGUAUGACACAUAUCAUGAGGAGAAAGGGCUUUAAUAAAUAACUCUUUCGUCACUGUGGAUUAAAAUACAGGAAUAAUUUAUAAAGGGUAUGGGGGUUUGAACUCUUGCUUUCUGGGAUAAAAGUAAAAGAAUUAACCAUCAGCCCUGAGUAUCUUAGUCAUUUGCACGUAUAAACACACCAUGCUCUUUUAUCCAGGGCUUUUUCAAUUGAGGAAAAAUUUACAGCCAAUAAAAUAGCAGAUUUUUUUUUUUUUUUUUUCUUUUGCGGUACGUGGGCCUCUCACUGUUGUGGCCUCUCCCGUUGCGGAGCAACAGGCUCCGGACGCGCAGGCUCAGCGGCCAUGGCUCACGGGCCCCGCCGCUCCGCGGCAUGUGGGAUCUUCCCGGACCGGUGCACGAACCCAUGUCCCCUGCAUCGGCAGGCGGACUCUCAACCACUGCGCCCCCAGGGAAACCCAAAAUAGCAGAUUUUAAGUGUUCAGUUUGAGAAGUUUUGACAACCAUAUAUACUCAUGCAAGCACCACCAGAAAUAAGAUAUAGAAUAUUUCUGUCAGUCUAGAAAAUUCUCUCAUGUGCUUUCAGUUCAAUUUCCCCCACCCCAAAGGCAACCACUCUCUGAUUUCUAUCACCCUACAUUUGUUUUGCCUAUUUUUAUCCUUCACAUAAAUGAAGUCAUUUAGUAUGUAGUCUUUUGAGUCGGGCUUCUUUUGCUCAACAUGGUAUUUUUUGAGAAAUAUCCACUUCAUUGUUUGUAUCAAUGCUUUCUUCUUAUUCUUAAGUAGUAUUUCAUUAUAUCAAAAUCUGUUUAUCCAUUCUCCUACUGGUAUUUAUUUGGAUUGUUUUCACUUUGAGGAUAUUGAGAAUAAGGUCUAUGAAUGGGCUUGUACAAGUCUUUUUGUAGACAUAUAUUUUCAUUUCUCUUGGAUAAAUACCCAGUAGUAGAAUUGCUGGGUCAUUGAAGAAAUGAAUGUCAGUUGCCAAACAGUUUUCCAAAGUUGUUGUACCAUUUUAUAUUCCCACCAGCAAUGUAUAAAGGGUCUAGUUCUCUACAUCCUCACCAACAUUUGAUGUUGUCAGUUUUUUAAAUUUUUACCAUUCUGGUGGAUGUGAAAUGGUAUCUCAUUGUGGUUUUAAUUUUUAUUUCUCUGAUAACUAGUAUGUUAAGCAUCAUUUAUAAAGUGUCUACUAAAGUCUUUUGCUCAUUUUUAAAAUUAGGUAAUUUGGGGUAUUUUUUAUUGUUGAUUAUAUAUUCUGGAUAUGAGUCAAUUGUCAUAUAAAUGUAUUGAGACUAUUUUUCCCAGUCUGUGGCUUGCUUACUCAUUUUUAUAAUGAAUGUUUCAAUUUUUAAUAAGCCUAAUUUAUAUUUGUCUUUUAUGCUUAAUAUUUUCUGUGUCCUCUCUAAUAAAUCUUUACCUACCCUAAGAUUAUAAAAAUUCUUCCUAUGUUCUUAUAGAAACGUUAUGGUUCUAGCUUUUUACAUUUAGGUCUAUGAUUCAUCUCAAAUCAAUAUUCACUCAUAGAGGUCUAGUUUAUCUGACCUGAAUAACGACAUUUAUAAUCGAGCAAGAAAACAAAGUUCAACAGCAAACAGAGGAGAAUAUUUACUGGAUGACUGAUCUAAAGCAUCCUGAACGUUUCCGUAAUAAUUUAAGAUCUACUUGUCAAGUUCUAUGAAAAAGCCUUUACUGGAUUUAGAGAUUGCGUAGAGAAGAAUUAACAUCUUAACAAUGUCCAGCCUUCUUACUUCUGAGCUUGGUGUAUAUGAACAAGGCCUUCACAUGCUUGUGGUCCCUGCAGUAAAACCUCUUCAUUUGAACCACCUGCUGCAACCCUGAUUGAUUCAAAGAAACUACACUGAAUAGCCAUGGAGUGCUUUCAAAGGAAUACCUGCUGUGAAUCUAAGUUUGUGGAACCAUCAGACCACACGGUGCGAGAGACCAUGGGUUUCGGAAUCAGACACACCUGAAUUAGCAACCAGGCUCUGUCACUUACUAGCCGUGUGACCCUGGACUAUAAAGAAAUUUGAGUUGAUUUCACCAAGGGUUGACAUGAGCUGAGAGGACAUCUCCCGCCAGGCAGGGAGCAUUUGGCGCUGCUCCUAGAAACUGAACCUGGAUAUCAAAUCCAGACGGUGCUUUCUUUUCAUUCUUUUGAGUUGAAUUACUUGAAGAUGGAUGAGAAUCAUUGACAGUGAGUACAGUUGUCCUUCCAUAUCCGCAGGGGAUUGGUUCCAGGACCCCCACGGAGACCCAAAUCCACAGAUGCUCAAGCCCCUUAAAUAAAAUGGUGUGGUACGGUUGGCCCUCCCUUAUCCGUGGGUUCCCACAUUUGCAGAUUCAACCAGUGGUGAUCCGUCUUCAGUUCCAUCUUUGUGACCACCCUAUUGGCCUAGUGUCCAGCCUCUGCAAGGGACAUGCGCAGUCACUGAACUCAGGUUGUUCCAAAGCUAUGGUUUGCCAUCUGGCAUAUUUGGU
Molecule: long non-coding RNA, 3012 nt
Organism: Orcinus orca (killer whale)
Lineage: Eukaryota; Metazoa; Chordata; Mammalia; Artiodactyla; Delphinidae
Exons: 7
Source: RefSeq, a predicted model, not a curated record